RNAcentral lists this transfer RNA (610 nucleotides) under uncultured Prochlorococcus sp. RNAcentral describes it as "partial contains 16S ribosomal RNA, 16S-23S ribosomal RNA intergenic spacer, and 23S ribosomal RNA". The stretch from base 226 to 298 matches the Rfam family "tRNA". Lineage: Bacteria; Bacillati; Cyanobacteriota; Cyanophyceae; Synechococcales; Prochlorococcaceae. The record is from RNAcentral.
UGGAUCACCUCCUAACAGGGAGACAACAAAAUGUUAAAUAUUAAUUUUGUCACCUUAGGUCGAUCGGUAUCUCACAUUCUUAAUCAAUUUAAGAAUUUUAUUUCCUAAGUUUUUCUAGGUCACACCCAUCAUUUUUCCUGGGCCAUUAGCUCAGGUGGUUAGAGCGCACCCCUGAUAAGGGUGAGGUCCCUGGUUCAAGUCCAGGAUGGCCCAUAUCUCUAUGUUGGGGGUAUAGCUCAGUUGGUAGAGCGCCUGCUUUGCAAGCAGGAUGUCAGCGGUUCGAGUCCGCUUACCUCCACUGAUUACCACCUCUUCCAUAAAUUUAUAGAAGGGAAAUGUUUUAGGGGUGAUCAAAUCUGGACGAAUCUAGCUUCCUAAUCAAACUAUUAAGAUGCUGGACUCAUUGAAUUAAAUUCAUUGUUUUCAGAGAACCUUGACAACUGCAUAGAUUAUUUUUUAAAGACAAUAAGCAUCUUUAAUGAUGCAGAUUUAUUAUUUGUGCGAAUGCAUUAAUAACAAUUCUAUUAAGCUGAUGCUUCAAAUUUUGAAGUUAUUGGUCAAGCUACAAAGGGCUCACGGAGGAUACCUAGGCACACAGAGGCGAUGAAGG